UUAUUUUCUUAUUUGCAGUUGCAGAUAAUCAAGAUCAAAAAUCGGCCAUGUUAUCGAAAAUUCGAUAAGAAUAUUGGAAGAUGGAUGUGCACACACAGAACAAGAGGAGAUUGCAUUCCUCCUGAGUGUUUGAACUUCUUAAAGACGAAGAUGUUAAACGUUUGAUAGCUAUAUAAGUGAACGUUUUCAAAAGUACUAUGGCAGAUUCAAACGUGUACAACGUGAAUGCAGAUAGUUCCAUCGUGAUUAUGGGCGAAGGACAUAUGAUCAACAUUGGGCAACAAAAAGAAAACAUUGAUGACAAGAAAGAAGCUCCGAAUAUAUUACAAACCGUGUCAAAACUUCCAGCAAAGCCUUUCCACAAGUGUUCGACGCGAGUUCGCGAUGUCGAUAAAAUGAAGUCCAUUUUCAAAGGCAUGGAAGAUGAACAACAGGCGCAUUUGACAGCUAUUUAUAUCACAGGGCCCCCCGGUUCUGGGAAGACGCAACUAGCACGUCAAUUCGGGGAACAAUUUCAAGGAGACGUAACAAAUAAUGGUACAGAGCGUCCAGUUGUGAUGACAUUAAUUGUCGAGUCAAUGAAAACAUUGUUUAAAUCGAUAAAAGAGUUGUUAGAUCAUCUUCAUUUGGCAAAAUCAGACACUGUAACUGAAACUGAGGAAGAUGGCGAGAUCAAGGUCGUGCAGCUGUAUAUGGAAGAAUUACGAAAGGUGCUGAGGGGAUACCCAGGAAAGUGGCUUCUCAUUUUGGAUAAUAUGUUUGGAAAUAAGGAUUUCCACGAAAUAUUACCACAACCAGGUUGUGAAAACUGGGGCAAUGGGAAAAUGAUCGUAACGACUCAAAAUAGUGACCUUGCUCCUGUAUGUCACCAAUACGCUAAAGAUCUCUCCUUGAAGUGUGGAUUGGACGAGAACGAUGCAGUCAACUUACUCCAGGAAAUAAGUGGAGUUAAAGUGGAUGAAUUUGCUGUAAAUUUGGUCAAAGAAUUAGAGUUUCUCCCUCUAUCUCUUGCCUGCGCAGCGACCUAUGUCAGUGAAAUGAAGAAGGAUCGUCCUUCUAAAAAAUUCUCCUGGGAGCAAUAUCUUAAUCUCUAUCGUGAGCACAGAGGUAUGAUGAGAUCUCGGACAUUUGAGACAUAUAACGUAUAUCGCGAUUCAAUGGUUGUAGCUGCACGACUAGCCACAAGCCGCCUAGCUGAAUAUAGCGACGUUCUUCGUAAUGCUUUUGACUUUUUAUCAUAUUGCACUACAAGCCCAGUACCUUUAAUCUUCGUUUCAAGCUAUGUUCAAGAAUCAAUUCCAUCUGGUAGAAUAAGUGAUGAAAUCUUAGCUGAAAUUUCUCGUUGCUCCUUACUGUCGCUGCCAGAUGAUUCAUCCUCUUUUUCAACAGUGGAAACUGUUAAAUUCCACCAGGUAAUGGGAAAAGCUUUUGAAUACGCGAGGGAGGAACGAGCUUCUUCGCAGAACUUGGACGCUGAACAGAGAAGAAUGGAAUAUGUGUCUCUGUUACAUUCCUUACAAGAGAGUUUGGAAAAGGUUAUUCCAGGUAACGAUCGCGAUAGUGUCGCACUGAAGAUGUUAGCUAGUCCUCAUCUGAAGGUGGUUAUAGAUUAUGGUAAAGCCAAAAACUGGACUGACUGUUCCGAAUUUGUUGAUAUUGUCACCAUUCUUGCAAAUUGUCUUUACAACGUUCCUGGUGUCACGGAGUCUGAACGCAUCUCGUAUUGCGAACUUGCCAAUGAAAUUGCUCUACGUCUCUCGAAACCCAUGAAAAGCAUCCGGUACUGCCAUCUACUGAAAUCGCUUGGUUUCUACUACCGAGAAGCAAAUUACCUCGAUAAAGCUGUGGUUAUUCUUAAAGAAGGUCUUCGCUUGACUGAAAAUAAAGAAAGCAACGAAUGGGUGGUUUUGAAAUCCGCUCUGCUCAGCGUUCUAUCGUGGACGUUUAAAAUGCAGACGAAAUUCGAUCAGGCAGAGGAGGCGAUGAAGAAGUCGAUCGAUCUGGCAAAAAAAUCGUUCGGGGCGAAUCAUCAAGUGAUUGUAGAAAGGCUUUGCGAUUUUGCAAUCAUAUAUCGCGAAAAGGUAGAUAUCGCGAAAGCUAAAGAAAUGGCAGACCAAGCACGUCAAAUGGCUAAGAUCACCACAGGCAAUUUGCAUCUAACGAGAGCACAGGCAGCCAAUUAUUCUGCAAAAAUUUACUUACGUUAUGCGGAAAUGAUUGACAGCCUUGAGCAGAAGAAAAGCCUGCUGUAUGAUUCACUAAAACUACACGCGGAUGCAUUGGCCAUAUACGAAAAUGUUUUAGGAGAGGAUCAUAUUUUUGUGGCAGGAGUAUGUAUGACGUAUGGUACUGUGUACAAGGAGCUGAAUGAUUAUACGCAUGCGCUUGAAUUUGUCAAACGAGCGGAGGAAAUCUAUCGGGAUGUUGAACAUGUUCAAUUGAGUUCUGCUCUUCGCUAUAAGACCGAGGUAUUACUGGCUCUUGGUGAAGCUAACGAGGCCGAAAAAGCUAUUAAGAAAAGCAUCGAGAUAGAAAACUGUGGCCGUGCUAGAUUUCUGUUAGCCGAUGUCUAUUUGCAUCAAGAAAAAUACCAGGAAGCCAGAGAUGUUAUCCAAGAAGUUCUCACUCGAUGGAAGUCAGGCAUUCUUCCUCCAACCCAUUUUUGGGUAAAGCAUGCUGAGAAGAUAAAACAAGAAUGCGACAGAGAAAUUAGAUUCAAAAUAUUCCUUAGAUUUCUUCCGGUGGUUGUUUUAAUCGUUGCAAUCUUUCUUGCUGUUUGGUACAGCUGGUAAUCCCAAACUACAUGCAGUAAUCCACCAAUGUAAACAAUGUACAGUUAUACAAUUAAUACAAUUUAUGUUGCUAUGAUGUUCACCUGGAGAUUAUAGUUAUGAUUUAUUUCUGUAUAUUUAAGAACGUGUGUAGACAAUAAUUUAUUAUAAAUAGUACUUAUUGUAGACAGUAUUUUGGCCUACCCUUUUAACAUUUAGUUUUUCUUUCUCAGUAAUAAAUUCAGCUUUCCUGCAUGUGGUGUCUGACUUCAGUUUGUACAUGAAGAUGGAUUAUGAAAAUUAUAAAACGACCAGUCUCUAGUUUGUGCACACAUGAAAAUACGUAAGAUAGGAGCAGUAGUAGUUUGUGCCACUGCAAAAGACGAAAGUGGGUCCUUCUCGAUUUGAGCAAACUCGCCUAAUCACAAAGCGUUCGACGCACAAAGACCUCCUCUGCCGGAGACAAAGAACUCGGCGAGAAAAAGCAAGGGAGUAAUUGCAAUCCUCA
This 3279-nucleotide unclassified non-coding RNA is filed under the name Dendronephthya gigantea. Its description in RNAcentral is "uncharacterized LOC114524818, transcript variant X4". Lineage: Eukaryota; Metazoa; Cnidaria; Anthozoa; Malacalcyonacea; Nephtheidae. The record is from RNAcentral.